Molecule: ribosomal RNA, 468 nt
Filed under: uncultured bacterium
Lineage: Bacteria
Description: partial 16S ribosomal RNA
Rfam family: Bacterial small subunit ribosomal RNA
Source: RNAcentral
GACGAACGCUGGCGGCGUGCUUAACACAUGCAAGUCGAACGGAAAGGCCCUGCUUUUGUGGGGUGCUCGAGUGGCGAACGGGUGAGUAACACGUGAGUAACCUGCCCUUGACUUUGGGAUAACUUCAGGAAACUGGGGCUAAUAACGGAUAGGAGCUCCUGCUGCAUGGGGGGGGUUGGAAAGUUUCGGCGGUUGGGGGUGGACUCGCGGCUUAUCAGCUUGUUGGUGGGGUAGUGGCUUACCAAGGCUUUGACGGGUAGCCGGCCUGAGAGGGUGACCGGCCACAUUGGGACUGAGAUACGGCCCAGACUCCUACGGGAGGCAGCAGUGGGGAAUAUUGCACAAUGGGCGGAAGCCUGAUGCAGCAACGCCGCGUGCGGGAUGACGGCCCUCGGGUUGUAAACCGCUUUCGCCUGUGACGAAGCGUGAGUGACGGUAAUGGGUAAAGAAGCACCGGCUAACUACGUG